This 2000-nucleotide long non-coding RNA is filed under the name Mus musculus (house mouse). RNAcentral's name for it is "long non-coding RNA chr3:152229307-152231307". The record is from RNAcentral. Lineage: Eukaryota; Metazoa; Chordata; Mammalia; Rodentia; Muridae.
AUUGUGUGUAAUUAGAAUGCUUACAUAAUUUCUUCUCUGAACUGUGAUAUUUUUGAGAGUAGAUGGAAAUGUAUUAAUCAUUCCGUGGUAGCCGUGCUGAAAUAGUGCUACUUGUUUAUAAGAAGCUGAGCAUGCCAAGGUGAAAGUGCGCUAACUCCAUUGUUUGUUUUUACUGUGUGAGUGUUGAUUGGGUAGAAACCUGGUAACUGGACUACGUAAUUAAGACAGAGUAAGGUAUUUGUCUGUGCUCGAUUAUGUCAUGUUAUUUGUUUACAUGACUUCAAAUAAGUUUUAUAGAUAUUUUGCAUUCUGUAUUCUUAAAAAGUAUAUUGACUAGGACUUUUGAGAGUAGGUAUUUUAACUCAAUUAGGUUUUAGUUUUUAAUAUUCUAGCACUUUCCAGCACACAGUUCUGUGAAUUCCUCUUCUUCUAAUUAUUAUUAUUAUUAUUAGAGAUUUAUUUAUUUUAUGUAUAUGAAUGCACUGUAGCUGUACAGAUGGUUGUGAGCCUUCAUAUGGUUGUUGGAAAUUGAAUUUUAAGAACUCUGCUCAAUCCGACCCAAAGAUUUAUUUACUGUCAUAAAUAAGUACACCGUUGCUGACUUCAGACAUACCAGAAGAGGGCAUCAUAUCUCACUAUGGGUGGUUGUGAGCUACCAUGUGGUUGCUAGGAUUUGAACUCAGGACCUUGAGAAGAGUAGUACUCUUACUCGCUGAGCCGUCUCCCAGCCCGAAUUCCUGUUCUUGGUUGUUAUGUCUACCGAUCAAUCAGUUGGCAUACAUAGAGACAGACACACACAGACAGCAGCAUCGUGCAGGAUAACUAUUUGGAGACUCAUUUUCUUCAUUUGUGCUUUUUUGUAAUUAUGUUGAAGAUCUUAAUCCUGUGAGCAAAAAAAGACUAACUGAACAAUUCCCUGUCAUAUAGAUCUUGAAAGAUACUGUUUUAGGUAAUUUAAUUAAUCAUUGAAUUAGUAUUUUUAAUUAUAUGAUAGUUAUAAAAAUCAUUUUUCCCUGUAAAACAUUUAACUACAAUUUUUUUCUGAAAGUAUGGUCCUUGAUAUAUUUUUUAGUAUAAUCAUGAAUUAAGAGACCUUAAAGCAAAAGGUUCAGAAUAGAAGCUCAGGAGAUAGAUGGGUAAGAGUGCUUAAUGACCUGGGUUCAAAUCCCACUACCUAUCUUAAAAGCCAAUCAUGACUGUUGCAUGUUGGGAAGCAGUUGCAGGAGCUUGCUAGCCAACUGUGGAUUCAGUAAAAGGAGCAGGGGAAUAAGGUACAGAGGGAUAGAAGAAGGCAAAGGCAGGCAGAUUUCUGAGUUCGAGGCCAGCCUGGUCUGCAAAGUGAGUUCCAGGACAGCCAGGGCUAUACAGAGAAACCCUGUCUCGAAAAAAAAGAAAAAGAAACUCAUUUGCAGUUAACUUGCUUGUUUACAAAAUUCAUUAAGUAUUUCUAGAAUUCGAUUUUUAUCAUUUGAUAACUCAGAAUGGUCACUUAAAACAAAAUUACUAAUAAACGCUGAGUUUUGGGCUGGUGAGAUCGCUCAGUGGGUAAGAGCACCCUACUGCUCGUCCGAAGGUCCGGAGUUCAAAUCCCAGCAACCACAUGGUGGCUCACAACAACCAUCUGUAACAAGAUCUGACACCCUCUUCUGGAGUGUCUGAAGACAGCUACAGUGUACUUACAUAUAAUAAAUAAAUAAAUCUUUAAAAAAAAAAAGCUGAGUUUUACAUCUUUCAUUGAACUUUAUUUCAGCUGCCAGGUUAUUUUUAGUAAAGCUGUGAUAUAAACUCAGUAUGUCUUUUGCUUCAUUGUGUGUGUCAUAAAUAUCUUUCAGUACUUCUCUGUAGUUUAAGACUAGUAAUAUAGUGACCCAAAUGGAUAGAAGAGUGGUGAGCUAGGUAUGGUGGCACAUAUACGCAUUUAGUCCUAGUGCUCAGGAGGCAGAAGCAGGUAGAUCUCCAAGGAUGAGGUCAGCCCUGGAUAGUGAGACCCUUUCUCAGUU